This 978-nucleotide long non-coding RNA is filed under the name Pandoravirus celtis. RNAcentral describes it as "hypothetical ncRNA". The record is from RNAcentral.
CGCAGCGCCAAAAACAAGGCCCUGCCACGCAAUCUCGGGUCUGUGUCUGGAACCCGAAUUGUCGACGCCAAGGCGCAGAGUGCGCCAGCGGCGCCCGUCGUCGUCGACGGUCAGGUCGUCCACCACCGCGUCGGGCCUAUAGUAUUUCGAUGGCACCAGAUCGGCGUGGUCGUUGGCGAUGGCGACGCGAUCCGCCUCUGGCAGCACGCUCCACGUGCGCACCAACAGAAAGGCCCGGACGUCUCGGUCAAUAUCGCUGUAGAGGAGACUGCGCACGAGCGAGCCUAUACGCGCGGCCGCUUCCUCGCUGUCGGGACCGCUUUCCACGUGCGCGGCACAAAGUCCCGCGAGCACCACCUCGAUGAGGGCGCCGAGGCAAUAGGCCGGCAUACCCACAAAGAGCGAGGCCUUGACGACGUCGACGGGAUCGCCGCAGUCGCCCGCGCUGGCGGCAUAGUCUGGGGCGUACAGGCAUUCGACAAGAAAGGCCACGCUGUCGGCGCGAAAUGGGACCUCGAUCGAAUAGACCGCACGAAAGACGCGCCCACCGUCGGCGUCCUCGUUCUCAAUACGAUCCGGAUUGGUAUGUUUAAAGAGCGCGCUAAAAUAGGCCGCGCGUGCCACGACGGCGCGGUGGGUAUCGAUGCGCGCGGCGACGCCCUGGAUCGAAUCAUCGCCGCGCAGUUCUAUGACGCAGUCGCAAUGGGCACGGCGCAGGCUGGCGAUCACAACGCUCUCACCUGCGCCGGCGUAAUAGUAGGCGCGGUCGCUUCCGACAUCGCGCUCGCCCAUGACUGUCCAGUUUGUGGUGUGUACGGGGUUUUCUUUUUUUCUUUUGGACUCUUGGCGUCGCUCCGCAGAAAGAAAAAGGCGGCGGGGGAGGGUCGCUUUUGUUGCUGGCCAAUGAGAUUGUUUUUUAAUAAUAAUAAUAAUAAUAAUCUGUACGCGGCAUCUAAUCGCUAGCAGCGGCGGUCCGCC